This 838-nucleotide unclassified non-coding RNA is filed under the name Hevea brasiliensis (rubber tree). The record is from RNAcentral. Lineage: Eukaryota; Viridiplantae; Streptophyta; Magnoliopsida; Malpighiales; Euphorbiaceae.
AGAGACCAUGAAUCUCGUGGAGAUUGGAGUGGUUCCGGUAAAGAUAACAGACAACAUAAGGUACAUGCAGUCCGGGAAAGACACAGAGAUAAUUCACAUUAUGAGUACCAUCCAGUUGCGCCCCACAACAAUAGCAAAGAGAACUUGGAAUCAAAAGAUGGUUCUCAUAAUUCCAGUACAAGGUAUAGAGAGCGGGGCCAAAGUCACUCGAGACGUGGAGGGGGCAACUUUUAUGGACAUCAAAUUGGCAGUGUUGAAGUAGAUGCUGGGCAUGACUAGGGUGAAACUGAGGGUGGUUUUCCCUUUUUUUUGUUUUCCUUCUUCUAAAACCAGUGGCUUGAGCUCGAUCCCUUACACUAGAGGUAUUUUUGUUUAGGUAGUCGUUUUCAAUUGUAAAUAUUAUUUAAUCACCGCCAACUUAUAGAAUGUGCGUUGAGCAGGGCUUGGAGCAUACACAUGGUGUGAAGGCCGAAAAAGAAAUAUUGAGAUUACGGGAGUUACUCAAUGUGGUUGAUUUCUUGACUUUUUUUUUUUUUUGACUAAAAUGUACCUCAUCUGAAAGGCUUAGUUUGGCAACGGUAUACUUGCUGUGGAACAAAAAAUGUUUUAUGAGCGGUGUAGCUAGUGAUCUUUAUUCCUUUGCUCCUUGCUAGAAAGGAUGAAGUAAAUAGUAUGGUUGGUGCAUGAUUUUUAGAGAAAUCGAACUGAACUGAAAAAUCGUAUUAAAUUGAUAAAAACUGUAUCGAAUCAAAUUUAUUUUAAUAUUUUAAUUUGGUUCUGAUUCUUUAUUAAAAAUUAAAUCAAAAUCGUACUAAAAUUAAAUUAAAACUGAAUUGAG